UUACAAUAAGACGUUGUGGGAAAUUAGAUGUGGAGGAAAUUUCUCGGCUUUGCUUGGAGAAGUCAAUCAAAUUUGUGGGAGAAGAUGAUGAAGAAGACGAAUUUGUGGAAGAAUACGAUGAAUAAGUGCACGUUGCACUUGGAAGCUUUUUGAUGCGUGACCACAAAUUGUUCCCUUGUGUUCAAACCUUAAAUGAAUUGAGGAAAGGUGUGCUUCUUAGUGGGAUUUGCAAAUGUUAUGGAGAAGUCAUAAAUGAGGGAGCCACUGCAAUUCCAAGAUUACCAGUGUGGCAGCGCUGGCUAAAGCAGCAGCAGCAGAAUAUUUUAUCUCAGCAACGAUGCCUUCAAUCAUAGCAAUCUUUGACGGGCACACUGACAAAAAUCAUUCUGUGCAGCAAACAUCGCCUACAGGAGUAACUGAGAGAAUGCAGCAUUUGCUGUACCAGUAGAGAAGGAGCGCCCUUUUGCUGAGACUUGAGAAUUGCACUCACUUACAAAAGAUUGGUAAGAAAAAGAGAGCACCUUCCCUUGGGGCUGCCUUCAGUAAUAGAACUGUGCAUUCUGAAGCAAUAUUGGCAUUGUUUCUGUCAUGAGAUCCACUCAAUUCCAGGAAAACACUGGCACUGCCACCAAAGUUGGUUAUGCGUCAUAUGCUACUCGCCACCUCAGAAGAACUUUCAUCAAGUAGUGGUGGCUCUUCCAUGUACGCAGAACCUUUCAUAGAACCUAGUGAUCAUAAAAGAAGAGCUUUACACAAGCCAAGCGUCAAUUUGAGAAAUUCUUCCAUAUUCUUUGCAUGUACAAACUCCAAAAUGUUUCCAAUCCGCCGUGCUACUUUCAGUUGAGAAAGCAACUUGGGAUCCAUUUCCAGAGCUGAUGCCAGAGCCACGUGCAGCUCAACAUCAUUCACAUUUGCACAGGACAGAUCACCAAGUGAAAAUCUGAAGCAGUGGCUGACUGUCUUUGGUUGUAGAAUCUCAGAAAUUUUAGUCAAGUUGAACUCUAUGAGCAUCAGGAGGAGCUUCUGCGCACACAUUGGUAUCGGGGUCCUCAUCCUCAUUCAAGGUCGGUCAAAGAGGGAGAAAUUGCAUCUAGGAUAUGGAUUUCAAGCCUGGCAGCUUAUGCUCUAACUCUGGAGUUUUGAUUAGGAAAACGAACAUCGCAUCAAACGGAAUCUUGAGGGACAGAAAUCUGGCAUCACCAUCCUUGUUGCCCUUAUACAGAACAUCCAGACUCAGCAGAAUCCCACAGAUGAAUACGUCAGAGCUUUCAGCUCUGUGAUGGACUCAACGCCUGCAUUUUGAGCCGGCAAUGCAGGUUCUAGGAGCGGAUCGGUGUUGUGCUCUUGUUUUCUUUUUCAAUCCUGAACUGCUUUUGGAUCGUGUUUGUAAUUAGUGUGCUGAAUUAUGCUUCGUGUGAGUGUGAACCAUCUAAGUUUUGCCUGUCCAGUGUUUGGUGAUCAUGUGCAAUUUUGGUGUUUGAUGAAAUGAGUUAUGUGCUUGAGUCUGCGUGUGCUGGAAUGUCACCUUCAAGAAGCACCUGAAGCAGAAGCUGAAGCGCAAGGUCUAUUGCGACGGCUUCCUCUCUCUCUGCACCACCACCGGCAAGGUAAUGCCCUAUGAUGGCAGCGAGCAGCUGUCGGAAUGCAGAAUUUUGAAGAAUGAUGAAGUUAUUUGUUCCGAGUUUUGGUUGAGUUUCUGGUGUGAGGUUCACUAUAAUCCCCUCUAUGAAAUACGAGAUGCUCCAAUUACCGAAAAAGAAACACUGGAUAUUUUAGAAGAAGCUGGUCGCUCACGAUGUUGCAACCUGCAGGAAAUGGGAACCAAAUUUAUACCAUCCCUAUACCUUACAUAUAUAGAUUCUGCAUUCCAAAUAGCACAGCUUGCUUUACAAUGCCUCCAAAUGACUCCUAACGAGUGGCCUUCCAGGACUAAAGUUGUGGCAGAACUGGAAUCAGUAGAAGCUGCCAGUGCUAAUAGAAUUCCACAGGAUGCUUGAAUUCACUUAUCAUGUCGUUCUUACUUCAUGUGAUGUAAAUCAAAGUUUGUUGUUCCACACUUUUCCAUUUUUCCCAGGAUUAAUCUUGGGCUUUGAAUGUUCAUUUCCAUUGUACCCUGUAGUUACUAGGAGUUGUCUUCUCUUGUAAGUUCUUUGGAAUAUCCAUCGAGAUUGCAUUACUGCAUUAUAUCUUCAAAGAAAAUGUACGAUGGUACAUUUCAUCACAUCCUGCUCUUGUGACGUACCCUGUUAAGUUCUUA
RNA transcript from Eucalyptus grandis, 2257 nucleotides. RefSeq lists it as uncharacterized. The record is from RefSeq and is a predicted model, not a curated record. NCBI's taxonomy places the organism in Eukaryota, Viridiplantae, Streptophyta, Magnoliopsida, Myrtales, Myrtaceae. The transcript has 5 exons.